This 463-nucleotide ribosomal RNA is filed under the name uncultured bacterium. RNAcentral's name for it is "partial 16S ribosomal RNA". It matches the Rfam family "Bacterial small subunit ribosomal RNA", at positions 28 to 507 of the family's 1533-position model. The record is from RNAcentral.
GAUGAACGCUGACAGAAUGCUUAACACAUGCAAGUCUUUGGUGAAGCUGUGCUUGCACAGCCUAGCCAAGGCGGACGGGUGAGUAACGCGUAAGGAACUUGCCCUGCAGUCAGGGAUAACAGACGGAAACGACUGAUAAGACCUGGUAAAGUCAGGCGGACUCAUGUCCAGCCUGAUGAAAAGAGAUGCUGCAGGAGAGCCUUGCGUCCUAUUAGCUUGUUGGUGGGGUAACGGCCCACCAAGGCAAUGAUAGGUAGCCGGCCUGAGAGGGUGGACGGCCACAAGGGGACUGAGAUACGGCGCUGACUCCUACGGGAGGCAGCAGUGGGGAAUAUUGGACAAUGGGGGCAACGCUGAUACAGCAAUUCUGUGUGCACGAUGAAGGUUUUCGGAUUGUAAAGUGCUUUCAGCAGGGAAGAAAAAAAUGACGGUACCUGCAGAAGAAGCGACGGCUAAAUACGUG